This 359-nucleotide ribosomal RNA is filed under the name uncultured bacterium. RNAcentral's name for it is "bacterial SSU rRNA". It matches the Rfam family "Bacterial small subunit ribosomal RNA", at positions 30 to 386 of the family's 1533-position model. The record is from RNAcentral.
AUUGAACGCUAGCGGCAUGCUUAACACAUGCAAGUCGAACGGCAGCACGAGGAGCUUGCUCCUUGGUGGCGAGUGGCGGACGGGUGAGUAACGCGUAGGAAUCUGCCUUAUAGAGGGGGAUAACCCGGGGAAACUCGGGCUAAUACCGCAUAAUCUCUACGGAGCAAAGUGGGGGAUCUUUGGACCUCACGCUAUUAGAUGAGCCUGCGUCGGAUUAGUUUGUUGGGGGGUAAUGGCCUACCAAGACUACGAUCCGUAGCUGGUCUGAGAGGACGACCAGCCACACUGGGACUGAGACACGGCCCAGACUCCUACGGGAGGCAGCAGUGGGGAAUAUUGGACAAUGGGCGAAAGCCUGA